GGAUGUGUGGGAAAUCUGGCUGUGACAUCUGUCAACCCACUAAUCACCAGGGUUGAUGUGGGUGUCCCCUUCCUCCCUCACUGCUGCAUGUGUAUCUCUCCUGAUGCUGCAGGCUCUGUUGAAGAGGACAACCUUUCCCAAAUAGAGGAGGACUGGUCUUCGGUAUACAAGUAGCUGAACUCCCCUGCUAGAACCUCCCAACAAGCUUUCCCAACCAUAAAAUACCAGGAUCAUUUUCAAGUUCCAAAUAGUGUCCUGGCUGACACAGGUGU
RNAcentral lists this small nuclear RNA (272 nucleotides) under Jaculus jaculus (lesser Egyptian jerboa). RNAcentral describes it as "7SK RNA (ENSJJAG00000004870.1)". It matches the Rfam family "7SK RNA". From Rfam's summary of the family: 7SK was discovered as an abundant small nuclear RNA in the mid-70s but a possible function has only recently been suggested. Two independent studies have found that 7SK RNA binds the CDK9/cyclin T complex (known as elongation factor P-TEFb). The record is from RNAcentral. Lineage: Eukaryota; Metazoa; Chordata; Mammalia; Rodentia; Dipodidae.